AUGAACGCUGGCGGCGUGCUUAACACAUGCAAGUCGAACGAUGAAGCCCAGCUUGCUGGGUGGAUUAGUGGCGAACGGGUGAGUAACACGUGAGUAACCUGCCCUUAACUCUGGGAUAAGCCUGGGAAACUGGGUCUAAUACCGGAUAGGAGCGCCUACCGCAUGGUGGGUGUUGGAAAGAUUUAUCGGUUUUGGAUGGACUCGCGGCCUAUCAGCUUGUUGGUGAGGUAAUGGCUCACCAAGGCGACGACGGGUAGCCG
This 260-nucleotide ribosomal RNA is filed under the name Micrococcus sp. ISOM307_OTU42236. RNAcentral describes it as "partial 16S ribosomal RNA". It matches the Rfam family "Bacterial small subunit ribosomal RNA", at positions 29 to 289 of the family's 1533-position model. The record is from RNAcentral. Lineage: Bacteria; Bacillati; Actinomycetota; Actinomycetes; Micrococcales; Micrococcaceae.